GAAUAGCUCAGUUGGUAGAGUCCCGGAUUGUGAUUCCGGUUGUCGUGGGUUCGAGUCCCAUCUC
Molecule: transfer RNA, 64 nt
Filed under: uncultured Duodenibacillus sp.
Lineage: Bacteria; Pseudomonadati; Pseudomonadota; Betaproteobacteria; Burkholderiales; Sutterellaceae
Rfam family: tRNA
About the family: Transfer RNA (tRNA) molecules are approximately 80 nucleotides in length.
Source: RNAcentral